RNAcentral lists this ribosomal RNA (468 nucleotides) under uncultured bacterium. RNAcentral's name for it is "partial 16S ribosomal RNA". It matches the Rfam family "Bacterial small subunit ribosomal RNA", at positions 28 to 507 of the family's 1533-position model. The record is from RNAcentral.
GACGAACGCUGGCGGCGUGCUUAACACAUGCAAGUCGAACGGCAAGGCCCUGCUUUUGUGGGGUGCUCGAGUGGCGAACGGGUGAGUAACACGUGAGUAACCUGCCCUUGACUUUGGGAUAACUUCAGGAAACUGGGGCUAAUACCGGAUAGGUGCUCCUGCUGCAUGGUGGGGGUUGGAAAGUUUCGGCGGUUGGGGAUGGACUAGCGGCUUAUCAGCUUGUUGGUGGGGUAGUGGCUUACCAAGGCUUUGACGGGUAGCCGGCCUGAGAGGGUGACCGGCCACAUUGGGACAGAGAUACGGCCCAGACUCCUACGGGAGGCAGCAGUGGGGAAUAUUGUACAAUGGGCGGAAGCCGGAGGCAGCAACGCCGCGUGCGGGAUGACGGCCUUCGGGUGGUAAACCUCGUUAGCCUGUGACGAAGCGUGAGUGACGGUAAUGGGUAAAGAAGCACCGGCUAACUACGUG